CCUACGGGUGGCAGCAGUGGGGAAUAUUGCACAAUGGGGGAAACCCUGAUGCAGCGACGCCGCGUGAGUGAAGAAGUAUUUCGGUACGUAAAGCUCUAUCAGCAGGGAAGAAAAUGACGGUACCUGACUAAGAAGCCCCGGCUAACUACGUGCCAGCAGCCGCGGUAAUACGUAGGGGGCAAGCGUUAUCCGGAAUCACUGGGUGUAAAGGGUGCGUAGACGGCUGAGCAAGCCUGAAGUGAAAGGCGGGGGCCCAACCCCCGGACUGCUUUGGGAACUGUACGGCUGGAGUGCAGGAGAGGUAAGUGGAAUUCCUAGUGUAGCGGUGAAAUGCGUAGAUAUUAGGAGGAACACCAGUGGCGAAGGCGGCUUACUGGACUGUAACUGACGUUGAGGCUCGAAAGCGUGGGGAGCAAACAGGAUUAGAUACCCGGGUAGUC
This 440-nucleotide ribosomal RNA is filed under the name uncultured bacterium. RNAcentral describes it as "partial 16S ribosomal RNA". It matches the Rfam family "Bacterial small subunit ribosomal RNA", at positions 338 to 795 of the family's 1533-position model. The record is from RNAcentral.